UACGUAGGGUGCGAGCGUUAAUCGGAAUUACUGGGCGUAAAGCGUGCGCAGGCGGUUAUGUAAGACAGUUGUGAAAUCCCCCGGGCUCAACCUGGGAACUGCAUCUGUGACUGCAUAGCUAGAGUACGGUAGAGGGGGAUGGAAUUCCGCGUGUAGCAGUGAAAUGCGUAGAUAUGCGGAGGAACACCGAUGGCGAAGGCAAUCCCCUGGACCUGUACUGACGCUCAUGCACGAAAGCGUGGGGAGCAAACAGG
This 254-nucleotide ribosomal RNA is filed under the name uncultured bacterium. RNAcentral describes it as "partial 16S ribosomal RNA". It matches the Rfam family "Bacterial small subunit ribosomal RNA", at positions 524 to 776 of the family's 1533-position model. The record is from RNAcentral.